RNAcentral lists this ribosomal RNA (253 nucleotides) under uncultured bacterium. RNAcentral describes it as "partial 16S ribosomal RNA". It matches the Rfam family "Bacterial small subunit ribosomal RNA", at positions 524 to 776 of the family's 1533-position model. The record is from RNAcentral.
UACGAAGGGGGCUAGCGUUGCUCGGAAUCACUGGGCGUAAAGCGCACGUAGGCGGCUUUUUAAGUCAGGGGUGAAAUCCUGGAGCUCAACUCCAGAACUGCCUUUGAUACUGGGAAACUUGAGUCCGGGAGAGGUGAGUGGAACUCCGAGUGUAGAGGUGAAAUACGUAGAUAUUCGGAAGAACACCAGUGGCGAAGGCGGCUCACUGGCCCGGUACUGACGCUGAGGUGCGAAAGCGUGGGGAGCAAACAGG